This 245-nucleotide ribosomal RNA is filed under the name Aspergillus fischeri. RNAcentral's name for it is "partial large subunit ribosomal RNA". It matches the Rfam family "Eukaryotic large subunit ribosomal RNA", at positions 351 to 602 of the family's 3401-position model. Lineage: Eukaryota; Fungi; Ascomycota; Eurotiomycetes; Eurotiales; Aspergillaceae. The record is from RNAcentral.
GAGUGAUCGAAAGAUGAAAAGCACUUUGAAAAGAGAGUUAAACAGCACGUGAAAUUGUUGAAAGGGAAGCGUUUGCGACCAGACUCGCCCGCGGGGUUCAGCCGGCACUCGUGCCGGUGUACUUCCCCGUGGGCGGGCCAGCGUCGGUUUGGGCGGCCGGUCAAAGGCCCUCGGAAUGUAUCACCUCUCGGGGUGUCUUAUAGCCGAGGGUGCAAUGCGGCCUGCCCGGACCGAGGAACGCGCUU